AUGCCAUGAGUCUGGGAUGUGGCUCAAAUAUCUGUAUUGCUAACCCAUUACCAAGUGAUGCCAACAUUCUGAUGCUGAUGCUGUAGAUGUAGGGACCUCACUGAGAGAACUGUUGACACAAGCCAGUGAUGCCAGAAGUAGAGUGAGCCACAUGCCAGGUUGUUGGACCUCUACGUAGAGUUGUUCUUUGACAGCCAUUCACUGCAGCUUCUCUCCCACACAUGCCAGGUUAUCUAUCUGAGUCUUCCUUUGUCGAGUACUGAAGGGUCUAAGGCUUACCCUACUUGCAGACUAACCUGUUAGACUACCACAGAUUCCCAGGUGCUGGCAGAGGAUGUGAGAUACCUGGGUCAGAGACAAAGGACAGGUUAUAGAUUCCAGCCAGAGCAGCAGCCAGAGUAUCAGCAUUUCCACCAGUUCUCCCAGUGCCAGUUCCCACAGAGUGAUGCCAAGAGGGCUGGAGGAUGCUUGGCCCCAUGAUGGGCUGUGGCACAGGAGAGGCGCCCUGCACUUAGGGAACCUGAAUCUUUUGUAAUGGGCAGUAAGCCUACCUGACUUUUGCCUAGGAGGGAGAUACUUCUUUAUUCUACUGACACUAAAAAACACACUUGCUCCAAGGGUAGACACUGUUCUCAUAUAUCAAGGCUGUUUGCCAUACAAACAUUCUGAAAACCAGGGUCUGGAACAAAGGCAUCCUGUGCCUCUUCUCUCAAGAUGUGCAGAAACCUAAAAGGCCAAUGAAGAAUCGUCUCCAAACACACUUGCACUCCUACCAACACUUCUUUUUGAAAAUUGCCAAGAGCCAAAAUUCCUUGAAGGCCACAAUGGUAGGCAGAAUAAUGCCUACCCCACCCCAAGGCAUUCACAUUCUCCUCCCUAGAACCUAUGAAUAUAUUACCUGACAUGGUGUAAUAGUCUCUAGGGGCUCCCAUAACAAAAUAUCAUAAGCUGAAAACAUUAGGCACUAAUUUUAUUGGACUUUUGGAGGCUAGAAGUCUAAAGUCAAGGUGUUGGCAGGGCCACAGUCCCUCUGAAGCUUGUAAGGGAGGACCCUCUCUUGCCUCUUCUAACUUGUGAUGGCUCCUGGCAUUCCUCGGCUUGUAGAUACAGCACUUUGCUUCCAUUUCCACAGUGUGCUCCCUGUAUGUUGUGUCUUCUUAUAUGACACCAGUCAUAUUGGAUGAGAAGCCCACUCUACUUUACUGUGACUUCAUUUUAACUAACUACAUCUUCAAUGACCCUGUUUCCAAACAAAGUCACAUUCUCAGGUACUGGAAGUUGGAACUUCAAUGUACCAUUUUUGAUUGGGGGGCACACAAUUCAAUUCAUAACACAUAAAAAAAUUCAUAACACAUGACACAGAGGACUUCACGUUGCCAAUCAAAUCGACUUUAAAAUAAGCCGAUUAUCCUGGAUUAUUUGGGUGGACCCAAGGUAAUCACAAUAUUCCUUAGAAGUGGAAGAGGCAAGUGAAACAGCCGAUCAGAGUGAUGAAAUAGGAGAAGGACUCAACUCACCACUGCCGGCUUUGAAGACAGAGAGGGGAUCAGCAACCAAGGAAUGUGGGCAGCCUCUAGAUGUGGGAAAACACCAGGUGUCAGAUUCUCCCCUAGAGCCUCCAGAAAGAUGCUCAGCCUUGCUGACAGCUUGAUUUCUACCCAGUGAGGACUACCAACUUACAGAAAUGUAAGUUAAAGAAGAAAUAUAAACGUCAUUCAUUGUUUGAAAGAGGACAGAGAAAACAUUUAUCAAGUGUCUUUGCAGCCAGACAGAUAACACAAAGGUAUGAAAUGACCAUCAGGCCAUGCAGCACAGUGAGGACCAUGAUGAGCAGGAGCCUGAAGAUAAUAAAUACAGAUUCUCACCCAAAUUUUAGAAACUGUUCUGUGGAUGUAUGCCGAGAUUACAAACACACACGCCCUUUGACUCGGUGAUGCCACUCCCAGGAAGUGUGUGAAACAGCCCAAUGACCAUCAAUCCUGACUGAUCCCAGAGAGGAACUGGAGCUCAGAAUGUGAAGAAAGGUCAUCGAUAUUGAGAAAGACCAUAAGAGGAGAGAAAUCGCUGCGAGGGAACCAGCACAAGAUUCUACCAAGAUUAGGCCAAAGACAUCUUCAGAUACCCCUGGUAUCUGGCCUUCAGGCCUUUGGGCUGGGCCUCCUCAUGGGACUCACACAGCUGUGAGGCAGAAAUACCUGCCUGGGGCACCUGGGAGGCUCAGUCAGUUAAGCCUCUGCCUACCUCUGGGGUUUCUGAUCUCCAGGUCCUGGGACGGAGCCUUGAGGAUAGAGCCCUGCC
Molecule: long non-coding RNA, 2298 nt
Organism: Canis lupus familiaris (dog)
Lineage: Eukaryota; Metazoa; Chordata; Mammalia; Carnivora; Canidae
Exons: 4
Source: RefSeq, a predicted model, not a curated record